GACGAACGCUGGCGGCGUGCCUAAUACAUGCAAGUCGAACGCAGUGGGGACGGGUGAGUAACCCGUGGGUAACCUCCCAUCAGAGGGGAUACCACUUGGAAACAGGUGCUAAACCUAUACUGAUGGAUGGACCCGCGGUGCAUUAGCUAGUUGGUGAGGUAACGGCUCACCAAGGCCACGAUUCAUAGCCGGCCUGAGAGGGGGAUCAGCCACAAUGGGACUGAGACACUGCCCAGACUCCUACGGGAGGCAGCAGUAGGGAAGCUUCGGCAAUGGGCGAAAGUCUGACCGAGCCACGCCGCGUGAGUGAAGAAGGUUUUCGGAUUGUAAAACUCUUUUGGUAGAGAAGCGGUAUCUAACCAGAAAGCCACGGCUAACUACGUGCCAGCAGCCGCGGUAAUUC
This 403-nucleotide ribosomal RNA is filed under the name uncultured bacterium. RNAcentral's name for it is "partial 16S ribosomal RNA". It matches the Rfam family "Bacterial small subunit ribosomal RNA", at positions 28 to 526 of the family's 1533-position model. The record is from RNAcentral.